CCUACGGGGGGCAGCAGUGGGGAAUCUUCCGCAAUGGGCGCAAGCCUGACGGAGCAACGCCGCGUGAGUGAAGAAGGUUUUCGGAUCGUAAAGCUCUGUUGAGAGGGACGAGAGGCAAGGCUAGGAAAUGAGCUUUGUAGGACGGUACCUUUCGAGGAAGCCACGGCUAACUACGUGCCAGCAGCCGCGGUAAUACGUAGGUGGCGAGCGUUGUCCGGAAUUAUUGGGCGUAAAGGGAGCGCAGGUGGGAAAGUAAGUCAGUCUUAAAAGUGCGGGGCUCAACCCCGUGAGGGGAUUGAAACUACUUUUCUUGAGUGCAGGAGAGGAAAGCGGAAUUCCUAGUGUAGCGGUGAAAUGCGUAGAUAUUAGGAGGAACACCAGUGGCGAAGGCGGCUUUCUGGACUGUAACUGACACUGAGGCUCGAAAGCCAGGGGAGC
Molecule: ribosomal RNA, 438 nt
Filed under: uncultured bacterium
Lineage: Bacteria
Description: bacterial SSU rRNA
Rfam family: Bacterial small subunit ribosomal RNA
Source: RNAcentral